GAAAUGCGAUAAGUAAUGUGAAUUGCAGAAUUCCGUGAAUCAUCGAAUCUUUGAACGCACAUUGCGCCCUCUGGUAUUCCGGGGGCAUGCCUGUCCGAGCGUCAUUGCGAACCCCUCAAGCACGGCUUGUGUGAUGGGCCCUCCCGCGUCUUGGUCGUCAAGACGGGCCCGAAAUGCAGUGGCGGCUUCGCGGUUAUCCGAUCAGCCAGAGCGUAUGGGGACUCUCUCUCUUGUCACACGCACGCGGCGCGGACCGACGCCUGUCGACCUUUAUUCAUCUUCUCUCGGUUGACCUCGGAUCAGGUAGGGAUACCCGCUGAACUUAAGC
Molecule: unclassified non-coding RNA, 328 nt
Filed under: plant metagenome
Description: partial contains 5.8S ribosomal RNA, internal transcribed spacer 2, and large subunit ribosomal RNA
Rfam family: 5.8S ribosomal RNA (bases 1-104)
Source: RNAcentral